RNAcentral lists this ribosomal RNA (777 nucleotides) under uncultured Neocallimastigales. RNAcentral's name for it is "partial large subunit ribosomal RNA". It matches the Rfam family "Eukaryotic large subunit ribosomal RNA", at positions 22 to 645 of the family's 3401-position model. Lineage: Eukaryota; Fungi; Neocallimastigomycota; Neocallimastigomycetes; Neocallimastigales. The record is from RNAcentral.
AUAUCAGUCAUGCAUAGCAUAUCAAUAAGCGGAGGAAAAGAAACUAACAAGGAUUCCCUUAGUAACGGCGAGUGAAGCGGGAAGAGCUCAAAUUUGAAAUCUUCAAGGUUCUACCUUGACGAAUUGUAGUUUAUAGAAGUGUUUUCUGUUAGUGGAGUGGCAAAAGUUCUUUGGAAUAGGACAUCAUAGAGGGUGAGAAUCCCGUAUUUGGUCAUUCCUCCUAGCGUUGUGAUACACUUUCAACGAGUCGGAUUGUUUGGGAAUGCAGUCCAAAAUGGGUGGUAAAUUUCAUCUAAAGCUAAAUAUUGGCGAGAGACCGAUAGCGAACAAGUACCGUGAGGGAAAGAUGAAAAGAACUUUGAAAAGAGAGUUAAACAGUACGUGAAAUUGUCAAAAGGGAAGCGUUUGACACCAGUGUUGUUUUUCCGAAAAUCAAUUACGAAUGUUUUAUUUUUGAGGAGUUAUGACUUCAUCGGCUUGCUCCUUUCUUUAUGAAACUUUCUUAAUGCACUUUUCGGUUAACAAGUCAACAUCAAUUUCUUUUGUUGUAAAAGGGUAUGAGGAAGGUGGCUUUCUUUUCGGAGAAAGUGUUUAUAGCCUUGUGACCUCUGCAAUCGGAGAGAUUGAGGUCUGCAGCGUAGAUCCUUCGGGGUUAGAUACAUUUGUGCUAAGUUAUAGCUUUUCAUAGACAACUUGUUGACUACUGUUGAGUCUUGUGACUUACUCGCAUGAUGCUAUUUUACCUACGCUUAGGAUGUUGAUCUCUCACAGUCGAGC